RNAcentral lists this non-coding RNA (819 nucleotides) under Pristimantis nelsongalloi. The record is from RNAcentral. Lineage: Eukaryota; Metazoa; Chordata; Amphibia; Anura; Strabomantidae.
AAAUCAAUUUUUUCUUAACUUACACAUGCAAGUCUCCGCACACCCGUGAGAACGCCCUCUUACCCACUUAGGAAUUAGGAGCUGAUAUCAGGCACAAUAAUUUGCCCAAAACAUCUAGCCAAGCCACACCCACACGGGCCCUCAGCAGUGAUUAAUAUUAAGACUAAACGUAAGUUUGACUUAGUUAAUGAAAACAGAGCCGGCCAAUCUGGUGCCAGCCGCCGCGGUUACACCAAGUGGCUCAAAUUGAUAUUGCACGGCGUAAAGCGUGAUUAAAAAAUUCCCCCCCCCCAUUGAGAUUAAACUUAAACUAAGCUGUAGUACGCUUGUUUUUAGGAAGCCCAUAUUUCGAAAGAWAUCUCAACACACCAACUUGAAUUCACGAUAACUAGGACACAAACUGGGAUUAGAUACCCCACUAUGCCUAGUCGUAAACUUUAAAUUACACCUACAUCACCCGGGAACUACGAGCAAAGCUUAAAACCCAAAGGACUUGACGGUACCCCACACCCUUCUAGAGGAGCCUGUCCUGUAACCGAUACUCCACGUUCAACCUCACCAUUUUUAGCCUUUCAGUCUAUAUACUUCCGUCGCCAGCUUACCGCGUGAGCGAUCUAGUAAGCUCAAUGUUUAUCCACCAGCACGUCAGGUCAAAGUGUAGCAAAUAAAAUGGAAAGAGAUGGGCUACACUCUCUAGCAUAGAAAACACGAAAAACUAUGUGAAAUCAUAGCUGGAGGCGGAUUUAGCAGUAAAAAGAGAAUAGAAUACCCUUUUUAACCCGGCACUGGGGUGUGUACACACCGCCCGUCACCCUCUUC